Molecule: ribosomal RNA, 163 nt
Filed under: uncultured bacterium
Lineage: Bacteria
Description: partial 16S rRNA
Rfam family: Bacterial small subunit ribosomal RNA
Source: RNAcentral
UAGGGAAUCUUCCACAAUGGGCGAAAGCCUGAUGGAGCAACGCCGCGUGUGUGAUGAAGGGUUCCGGCUCGUAAACNCUGUUGUAAGAGAAGAAUGACAUUGAGAGUAACUGUUCAAUGUGUGACGGUAUCUUACCAGAAAGGAACGGCUAAAUACGUGCCAG